AUCACUUCUUGGCCUUUUGGCUAAGAUCAAGUGUAGUAUCUGUUCUUAUCCACUGAAAUAAAGGCAAUCCCAAAAUGAAGGCAGUUUAGGUAACUUGGAAAGGCACAUUCCUCUUAUCUAUGCCAUCCUUGCUUUAAUACUACAUCUCUCCCUCAACACACAUGCACGUGCAUACACACACGCAUGUGCAUACACACA
Small nuclear RNA from Mesoplodon densirostris (Blainville's beaked whale), 198 nucleotides. RefSeq annotates it as U2 spliceosomal RNA. Lineage: Eukaryota; Metazoa; Chordata; Mammalia; Artiodactyla; Ziphiidae. The record is from RefSeq and is a predicted model, not a curated record. The transcript has a single exon.